Molecule: long non-coding RNA, 389 nt
Filed under: Suricata suricatta (meerkat)
Lineage: Eukaryota; Metazoa; Chordata; Mammalia; Carnivora; Herpestidae
Description: lncRNA (ENSSSUG00005010525.1)
Source: RNAcentral
UUGUUGUUCUUGAAUGUACUGAUUUGGUUCUUUGUUACUAUCUACUGAUUCUCUGAUAACAGAGUUUCAGGGAGAAAGUUACUGAUUGGGGUUAUUCUGAAAGGUGAACCAUGAAGAGACAAAAAAGGAAACAUCUGGAAAGCAUAGCCUCCCCACAAACUGCCAAGAAGCCGAGAGCAAAUCUGAAUCUACAAGACCUGCAGUGUGGACGUGAGGGAAUGCCCCCAGCUCGGGAUCCAACAGCGAGCGGAGACUCUUCAGGCUCUUCAGGCUGUGUCUUGUGCAUCCCUUCACAUAAGGAGAUCGCUGCUGCUGGUAAGGAGAGUGUACGGAAUCCCUUGGGGUCUAGGCAGAGGCCAGAGGUAACCCGGGUGAUUCUGCCCAUUAGU